This 1129-nucleotide ribosomal RNA is filed under the name Ostreococcus mediterraneus. RNAcentral's name for it is "partial Bacterial large subunit ribosomal RNA". It matches the Rfam family "Bacterial large subunit ribosomal RNA", at positions 23 to 1207 of the family's 2925-position model. Lineage: Eukaryota; Viridiplantae; Chlorophyta; Mamiellophyceae; Mamiellales; Bathycoccaceae. The record is from RNAcentral.
GGUGGAUGCCUUGGCAGUCAGAGGCGAUGAAAGACGUGGAAGCCUGCGAUAAGGCUCGGGGAGCUGGCAAACAAGCUGUGAUCCGGGCAUCUCUGAAUGGGGAAACCCACCGGUCUUCGGACCGGUACCGUACGGUGAAUACAUAGCCGUACGGGGCGAACUCGGGGAACUGAAACAUCUAAGUACCCGAAGGAAAAGAAAUCAACCGAGAUUCCGUAAGUAUUGGCGAAAGAAAGCGGAAAAGACAACGCAAAAACUCUAUCAAACAGAACAAGGUGGGAUCCUUGACCAAAGAUGGUGAUAGUCCAGUAUUCUUUGAAAGGUUUUUGGAAUUUGAAGUAAAACAAAUCAAAUUGUUUGAAUAAAAGGAGGCCCACCUUCUUUGUCUAAAUAUAUUGUUAAGACCGAUAGUGAACAAGUACCGUGAGGGAAAAGUGAAAAGAACCCUAGAAAAGGGAGUGAAAAAGAUCCUGAAAUUUAAAACGUACAAGCAGUCAAACAAAUCAUGGAAUUUGUGUGGCGUACCUUUUGCAUAAUGGGUCAGUGAGUAAAUAAAUUCAGCUUGCUUAAUCGGAUACGUGGAGGCGAAGCAAAAGCGAGUAUGCAAAAUGCAUUCUGUUGGAUUUAUUUGACCCGAAACUAAGUGAUCUACCUAUGAACAGGUUGAAGAAAGCGUAAUUUCUUUUGGAGGACCGAACCGACGUCUGUAGCAAUAGGCGCGGAUGAUUUGUGGGUAGGGGUGAAAGGCCAAUCAAACUUAGAGAUAGCUGGUUCUUCGCGAAAUUUAUUGAGGUAAAGCGUUCAAUUUUGGUCAAAAGGGGUAGAGCACUCAUUAAGCUAUGGGGGCCCAAAGCCUUACUGAUCUUUGUGAAACUCCGAAUACUUUGUGACUUGAAGUUGAAUAGACAGACUUAAAGUGCUAAGGUUUUAAGUCAAAAGGGAAACAGCCCAGAAUUUUUGCUAAGGUCCUUAAACAAUAAGUAAGUGGAUAAAGAAGUUUAUUUCCGACAACAACUAGGAAAUUGGCUUGGAAGCAGCCAUUUUAUGAUGAAAGCGUAAUAGCUCACUAGUCGAGUCGGCCUGCGCGGAAGAUGUAACGGGGCUCAAACUGGUCACCGAAGCUGCGGCU